GAUGAACGCUGGCGGCGUGCCUAAUACAUGCAAGUCGAGCGAACAGACGAGGAGCUUGCUCCUCUGACGUUAGCGGCGGACGGGUGAGUAACACGUGGAUAACCUACCUAUAAGACUGGGAUAACUUCGGGAAACCGGAGCUCAUACCGGAUAAUAUAUUGAACCGCAUGGUUCAAUAGUGAAAGACGGUUUUGCUGUCACUUAUAGAUGGAUCCGCGCCGCAUUAGCUAGUUGGUAAGGUAACGGCUUACCAAGGCAACGAUGCGUAGCCGACCUGAGAGGGUGAUCGGCCACACUGGAACUGAGACACGGUCCAGACUCCUACGGGAGGCAGCAGUAGGGAAUCUUCCGCAAUGGGCGAAAGCCUGACGGAGCAACGCCGCGUGAGUGAUGAAGGUCUUCGGAUCGUAAAACUCUGUUAGUAGGGAAGAACAAAUGUGUAAGUAACUAUGCACGUCUUGACGGUACCUAAUCAGAAAGCCACGGCUAACUACGUG
Molecule: ribosomal RNA, 497 nt
Filed under: uncultured bacterium
Lineage: Bacteria
Description: partial 16S ribosomal RNA
Rfam family: Bacterial small subunit ribosomal RNA
Source: RNAcentral